Molecule: ribosomal RNA, 490 nt
Filed under: uncultured bacterium
Lineage: Bacteria
Description: partial 16S ribosomal RNA
Rfam family: Bacterial small subunit ribosomal RNA
Source: RNAcentral
GAUGAACGCUAGCGAUAGGCUUAACACAUGCAAGUCGAGGGGCAGCAUGGUCUUAGCUUGCUAAGGCUGAUGGCGACCGGCGCACGGGUGCGUAACGCGUAUGCAACUUGCCUCACAGAGGGGAAUAACCGGCCAAAGAACGGCCAAAAACCCCUACAACUCAAGGUUGGGCUUCCAAGUGAAAGGAAAUGAAAUUGCCUGUGGGAAAGGCAUGCGUACCAUUAGCUAGUUGGUGAGGUAACGGCUCACCAAGGCGACGAUGGGUAGGGGAACUGAGAGGUUGAACCCCCACACUGGUACUGAGACACGGACCAGACUCCUACGGGAGGCAGCAGUGAGGAAUAUUGGUCAAUGGGCGAGAGCCUGAACCAGCCAAGUCGCGUGAAGGAUGACUGUCUUAUGGAUUGUAAACUUCUUUUAUACGGGAAUAACAAGAGUCACGUGUGGCUCCCUGCAUGUACCGUAUGAAUAAGCAUCGGCUAACUCCGUG